RNAcentral lists this ribosomal RNA (428 nucleotides) under uncultured bacterium. RNAcentral describes it as "partial 16S ribosomal RNA". It matches the Rfam family "Bacterial small subunit ribosomal RNA", at positions 354 to 796 of the family's 1533-position model. The record is from RNAcentral.
GUAGGGAAUAUUGCGCAAUGGGGGAAACCCUGACGCAGCGACGCCGCGUGAGUGAUGAAGGCCUUCGGGUCGUAAAGCUCUGUUGCAGGGGAAUAAAAAAAUGAAGGUACCCUGUGAGGAAGGAUCGGCUAACUUCGUGCCAGCAGCCGCGGUAAGACGAGGGAUCCUAGCGUUGCUCGGAAUCAUUGGGCGUAAAGAGGGCGUAGGUGGCUUGGUAAGUCAGGUGUGAAAGCCCAGGGCUCAACCCUGGAAGUGCAUUUGAUACUGCUGAGCUUGAGUGUCGGAGAGGUUACCGGAAUACCUGGUGUAGUGGUGAAAUACGUAGAUAUCAGGUGGAACACCGGAGGCGAAGGCGGGUAACUGGACGAACACUGACACUGAGGCCCGAAAGCGUGGGGAUCGAACAGGAUUAGAAACCCCUGUAGUCC